GGUACGUGAGCUGGGUUUAAAACGUCGUGAGACAGUUUGGUCCUUAUCUGUUGCGGGCGCAGGAUAUUUGAGGAGAUCUUUCCCUAGUACGAGAGGACCGGGAUGGACGAACCUAUGGUGUACCAGUUGUUCCGCCAGGAGCAUCGCUGGGUAGCUAUGUUCGGCAGGGAUAACCGCUGAAAGCAUCUAAGCGGGAAGCCUACUUCAAGAUAAGAUAUCCCAUGGCGUAAAGUCAUCUGAAGGCUCGUGGUAGACCACCACGUCGAUAGGUCGGGUGUGGAAGUGCAGUAAUGCAUGCAGCUUACCGAUACUAAUCAGCCGUGCGGCUUAUCCAUAUU
This 338-nucleotide ribosomal RNA is filed under the name Desulfobulbaceae bacterium BRH_c16a. Its description in RNAcentral is "bacterial LSU rRNA". It matches the Rfam family "Bacterial large subunit ribosomal RNA", at positions 2595 to 2925 of the family's 2925-position model. The record is from RNAcentral. Lineage: Bacteria; Pseudomonadati; Thermodesulfobacteriota; Desulfobulbia; Desulfobulbales; Desulfobulbaceae.